GAUGAACGCUAGCGACAGGCUUAACACAUGCAAGUCGAGGGGCAGCACAGGUAGCAAUACCGGGUGGCGACCGGCGCACGGGUGAGUAACGCGUAUGCAACUUACCUAUCAGAGGGGGAUAACCCGGCGAAAGUCGGACUAAUACCGCAUGAAGCAGGGGUCCCGCAUGGGGAUAUUUGCUAAAGAUUCAUCGCUGAUAGAUAGGCAUGCGUUCCAUUGGGCAGUUGGCGGGGUAACGGCCCACCAAACCGACGAUGAAUAGGGGUUCUGAGAGGAAGGUCCCCCACAUUGGUACUGAGACACGGACCAAACUCCUACGGGAGGCAGCAGUGAGGAAUAUUGGUCAAUGGCCGAGAGGCUGAACCAGCCAAGUCGCGUGAGGGAUGAAGGUUCUAUGGAUCGUAAACCUCUUUUAUAAGGGAAUAAAGUGCGGGACGUGUCCCGUUUUGUAUGUACCUUAUGAAUAAGGAUCGGCUAACUCCGUG
Molecule: ribosomal RNA, 485 nt
Filed under: uncultured bacterium
Lineage: Bacteria
Description: partial 16S ribosomal RNA
Rfam family: Bacterial small subunit ribosomal RNA
Source: RNAcentral